This is a long non-coding RNA of Biomphalaria glabrata, 3401 nucleotides long. RefSeq lists it as uncharacterized. Lineage: Eukaryota; Metazoa; Mollusca; Gastropoda; Planorbidae. The transcript is spliced from 4 exons. The record is from RefSeq and is a predicted model, not a curated record.
UUGCGUAAAUUUGCUAUGUUUGCAAGCACUUAACUCUGCGAGCAGUUGAUUAAAGCUAACACCUCACCUCACCGUUCGAGAUUAUUUGAUCAAAAUUUGUCAUCAGUGAUGAAAGUGUCAGUGGCAAACAAACUUCAACAUGACAUUAAUAAACUUGUAUCCCAGAAAAGAUGUCAAGCAUCAGGGCAAAGAAGAAAAUGCGGUAUCAUCCCGGGUAUCAUUAUCAUAGUAAUUUGUAAUUAUGUACCAAAUAGUUCUCCAAAUUUAGCUAAGGGAGAGGUGUAGAAACCAUUGAAGACUACAUUUGCACUCAGAUUUAAAGGAUGUAGAGUCAACUACAAAGAGCGUUCAUGCAUUGAAGAAGAAUUUGUGGGCUUUGAAAAUCCAUUUCCAUACAAAACUAAGAGAGAAUGUCUCAGAGAUUUUCGUGGUUAUGGCAGCAUUUGUGAAUAUCGUAAACCAUGCAGAAAUAACGGCACUUGUUCACCAAUUACUACCGCCAAUCAUGUUCCAACAUUCAAAUGUGAGUGUACUGCCAUGGGUUACUAUGGUGACAGGUGUGAAAAUAAAUGUCCAAAAGAUUUGUCAGCUAAGGAGCCUAAAAUGUUGGCCUGUUUACAGAUAUGAGAUCUUCCUUAACUACACAAGUACCUUACAGAAGCAGGCUACUCACUUGUGUUUUGAUAUGCCUGCUGUACCAAGGCUCACAUAGACUGGAUAUUUAUAUAGCCUAAUAUUAUGUUACUGACAAUUAUCUAAGUAUUGCAUGUCCUGUACAAGCCUCAAUGACUAAGAUAAUUAAAGAUAUUCAUGAUUAUAAGAUAAGUAGAAUGCAAUGAAAAUCAAAGAUGCCGGUAUUAAAACAUGAAAAAGUAGGCAACUGUAUAGCUUACUUUUCUACUAUCUAUAAUGUUUGUAGAUUCUAAAAGUUAGAAAGUGUCUUUUUUUAAUGACACAUUGCCUGUCAAUUCUGUUUAGUUUAAUCUUUUUUUUUUUUUAAUAUAGUGCCUAUCACCCUAAGUGAUGGUCAAGCUCAACAGAUAUUAUUAUAAGCAGCUUUUUUCUGGGUAUUAUUCAACCACAGCUGUGAGGGAUAUCUGAAAUCCAUUGCUUACUUGUCUAGCAGAAAGAUUUCCAUCCAUUUAGUGAUAAAAGAUUAAGUAUACACAACUUUUAGUAGUCACCACAAAACACAUUUUGAUGCUCAAGACAACACUGUUCAUGAAUGGUUUAGUUUUCUUUAUACUGAGAGUGUCCAAGAAAGAUAAGGUCAAAGGUUAAUUGGAGUUUUUUUAUGCUGUGACAGUGUUAAAUUUCCCUUGUGUUUUUGUAUGACUUGAAUACAUUAACCAUAUUUUUUUGUUUUACAAAUGUAGGACGAACAUGUUAAUAAACUUUGUCUUUGAAUUAGAAAUUGUAAAACACUUAGAGAAAAAACUUGCAAUGUUGUUGUUUUUUAAUUUAAAUUUACCAGGUACCUGCUAUUCAUUUACUUUGACUGUUGACUUUAAGUUAGAAAUUAAACAAAGAUUUCUUUGAGGUAUAUUUGUUAAUGACAAUAGACAUUACAGAGAGUUGACACAGCUAACUGUACUUUUCAACAAAGAAAUUAAGAGCUUUGGAUGGAAUUCUGUGGUUGAAUAACAAAGUAAAGUUAAUCAAUCACAGGAGUCCAUCAAAAAUAUAAAAUGCUAAAAAAAAUAUAAAAGAUUAAAUUACAUUUUUGAGAUUACAUAUUCUUUAUGUAGAAUCUUUUUUGAACAAAGUUUACCAGUAUAGGUAUUUAGACCUAGGAACAAAUGAUAACUGGAUAUAUUUUUUUAUUUCAAACCACUGGCAUGUAUUUAACUUGUUAUAAUACUUUUUAAUAUCUGCAAUAUCAACUGUAGUUUUCUUGGAAGAGUUCUAUAUGAAAAUGUCACUUCUGAACACUGCUGAAUUACUAGAUUUUAUUCAAUUAUGUUUUGUAAAUGAAAUAUUGUACAAUGGCAUAUUUGUAUGUAUUAUAAAAUUAAGGUUUUUACAGCUAUAUAUUAAAAACAUCUUAAAUUUAAUGUAGUUUCUGCACUGAAUAAUUUUUUAAACUUUUGGAUAAUUUAUACUCAUUUUGUUAUGUUUGUAUAUUUGUAGAAUAUGAAUAUCAUAGUAAAGGCAUUUAUUUACUUACAUAGUAGUUUUUUAUUAGUCAUUGACAGACUUCAGUGGAGAUUCUUUGUACAUUGAACCUUGUUGGUAGUGUCAAUGUUAUUAAGUUUACAUCAAGUAUUUAAGUAUAGUUCUGGGUGUUCACUACAUUGUUCCUGGCAGAGUUUUAUACCAUGUAAACUGAUAGAUCAGCAUGCUGAUUAGCUUUUAAAAUUUGGUUUUGACAGAACAAAUAUCUGUUAUAAGAGAUUUAGGGUAUACAACUCUAGCAAUAAUAUCUUUGACAAUAAAAUAUUCUGUUUAAGUUUAUAUUUUUGGAACAGAAUAUGCAAAUGUGUUAAAUAUACAUUAAAUAUACAACUGGUAUUAGUUUUAUCCCUUUGUAUCUUUCUACAGUACCAUUGUCAUUAUAUUUUUGUUAAAUUCUAGGUAGUAUAACUUCUAAUUUAAUUGUCUCCCUUUCAAAAUCAAAUGUCUAAAUGAAGUUUUUUUGAUUCUACACAAUCUUUUACUACUAAAGUAAUAUCAGGACCACCAAUAAACAUUUAUUUAAGCAGCAGUUUCAGUUUUAUUGUGACAUUCUAAAAAGUUAAUUGUUAACUUUAAAUAAGCUGUGCCUCUUAUACAUUGAUUUUAUUGACUCAUUUUUAUAUAUUUUUAUAUCUUGUAAAAAGAGGUCUUAAUUAUACAAUAUUAGAAUCAUUUUGCUUUUUUUUUUUUUAAAUUGUAAGUAGUCUGUGCUAAAUAUUUUUUUUUUUCAAAUUACUUUUGUAUUGCCUAUAUGGGGAAAUAAUAUUUCUGACAUUUCUUUGCUCUGCAAAAACAAAUCAGGAUUUGAACUCAAGCCCCCUUGACACUGGUUUAUCCCAGAUAUCCUGCAUUUCAUGCAGUUUGUAGGCCAAAUUUGAAACUCACAGUGCCCCAGUGCAGGUAGGAAAAGGAAACCAUGUCGCAUUAAUAUUUGCUGUUCAACAGAGCUAGGAAGCACUUCAGCUGGGUCUCAGUCCAAUGCAUUAGCUAGAGGAUUUGAGUUUCUUAGGCUGACACUCAAAUGAAGUCUGAUAUAAUUUUUUUUUUUUUUAAAGUUGUACGGAUGUCUUUAAGCUAUAUAACUUACCCAAGUCCAAUGUGUUGAUGACAUAUAUUUACCAGUUACUGGUACUAAACAAAAUGGCUGCUUGAUAUGAUGAAUCAAGUAUAUUGUAGGGCUAUGCGACUGCAGCUUCACAAAGAAAAACAAUCUUAACUUUGUUCUU